ACCCUGAUGCAGCGACGCCGCGUGAANGAAGAAGUAUNUCGGUAUGUAAACUUCUAUCAUCAGGGAAGAUAAUGACGGUACCUGACUAAGAAGCCCCGGCUAACUACGUGCCAGCAGCCGCGGUAAUACGUAGGGGGCAAGCGUUAUCCGGAUUUACUGGGUGUAAAGGGAGCGUAGACGGUGUGGCAAGUCUGAUGUGAAAGGCANGGGCUCAACCCNUGGACUGCAUUGNAAACUGUCNUACUUGANUGCCGGAGGGGUAAGCGNANUUCCUAGUGUANCGGUGAANUGCNUAAAUAUUAGGAGGAACACCAGUGGCGAAGGCGGNUUACUGGACGGUAACUGACGUUGAGGCUCGAAAGCGUGGGGAGCAAACAGGAUUAAAUACCCUGGUAGUCCACGCCGUAAACGAUGANUACUAGGUGUCGGGGAGCAAAGCUNUUCGGUGCCGNCGCAAACGCANUAAGUAUUCCCCCUGGGGAGUACGUUCGCAAGAAUGAAACUCAAAGGAAUUUGACGG
RNAcentral lists this ribosomal RNA (520 nucleotides) under uncultured bacterium. RNAcentral describes it as "partial 16S ribosomal RNA". It matches the Rfam family "Bacterial small subunit ribosomal RNA", at positions 380 to 916 of the family's 1533-position model. The record is from RNAcentral.